UGGGGAAUAUUGGGCAAUGGGCGAAAGCCUGACCCAGCAACGCCGCGUGAGUGAAGAAGGUCUUCGGAUUGUAAAGCUCUGUCCUUAGGGAAGAAAAAAAUGACGGUACCUAAGGAGGAAGCUCCGGCUAACUACGUGCCAGCAGCCGCGGUAAUACGUAGGGAGCAAGCGUUGUCCGGAAUUACUGGGCGUAAAGGGUGCGUAGGCGGCACUGCAAGUCAGAUGUGAAAUACCCGGGCUUAACCUGGGGACUGCAUUUGAAACUGCAGAGCUAGAGUGCAGGAGAGGAAAGUGGAAUUCCUAGUGUAGCGGUGGAAUGCGUAGAUAUUAGGAGGAACACCAGUGGCGAAGGCGACUUUCUGGACUGCAACUGACGCUGAGGCACGAAAGCGUGGGGAGCAAACA
This 405-nucleotide ribosomal RNA is filed under the name uncultured Eubacteriales bacterium. Its description in RNAcentral is "uncultured Clostridiales bacterium partial 16S ribosomal RNA". It matches the Rfam family "Bacterial small subunit ribosomal RNA", at positions 355 to 774 of the family's 1533-position model. The record is from RNAcentral. Lineage: Bacteria; Bacillati; Bacillota; Clostridia; Eubacteriales.